This 166-nucleotide ribosomal RNA is filed under the name Vinciguerria poweriae (Power's deep-water bristle-mouth fish). RNAcentral's name for it is "partial small subunit ribosomal RNA". The record is from RNAcentral. Lineage: Eukaryota; Metazoa; Chordata; Actinopteri; Stomiiformes; Phosichthyidae.
CACCGCGGUUAUACGAGAGACUCUUGUUGAUAAUUACCGGCGUAAAGCGUGGUUAAGGCCCUACUCACCUAAAGCUAAACGCUUUCCCAGCUGUUAUACGCUCUCGAAAAAAGACACCCUUACACGAAAGUAGCUUUAUCCUCCUGAACCCACAACAAUUAGGAAA